This 168-nucleotide ribosomal RNA is filed under the name iceman fungal clone T18217. Lineage: Eukaryota; Fungi; Basidiomycota. The record is from RNAcentral.
GUGAAUUUUAGGGCGUCUUACUUCGGUAAGGGCCUGACCUCCACUCUCUAACACUGUGCACUCAUUGGCGGGAAAGAAAUAAGAAGAGUAUUUAUACUUUGAAUACGAUUUCCUGCGGCUCACUUUUAAACAUUAGUCAAAGUAUGUAACGAAAUAUCGAAAUAAAAA